CCAUUGCUAUGAAAUUGAAUGGGUGAAAGGGAAGAAGUAAUUCACCAAAUGGAAAAUCUCCCAGAGGAUAAAGGGCCCCCUAAGUGCUGGGCCAGAAUACUGACAGAUCUCAUAACCCAAACUCUUGGUGGAAUUUCUAAAGAUAAUGAGAAGAAUCACUCUGAGCUCUCUGCUCCACCAGCAUUAAAAGAGUGAGAAGCAAGCCAACUUCACGUAGCUAUGGGAGAGGAGGCAUGAUCAGGACACAGCCUGUCACUUGGCAAAUCCAGAAUACAGACAUCACAGCGUGGAAUGGGACACGAGGAGCUUGGAAAGUUGGUUGGGAUCCGAUCAAGAAGCCUUGGAUGUCAGGGUGGAUAGUCUGUGUCUUUGCCAAUAAAGGUGACACGCCCAGGUGUCUCUUGGAUACACCCGGAAAGUGGGACUAGGAUGGAGAACCGUGGCAGGGACUGAAGUGGUGGGCAAGUGCAAUUGCCCAGGAGGUCAGGACGACCAGAUUCCAGGAAAGCAAAAGUAAUGAGACAUGCUGAGCUCUGCCCCAGCAUCCACUUCUGCUUACAAACUGAAGGUGAAAUCUUACGCCUGCUCAAUAAGUAACAGAACACACAUGGCAUUGGUCUUAAAUUACCUCAAGGCCACCACAAAGGCACACAGUUUUAGGUAGGGACACAACAAUGCUAGGAAGGGAAAUCCACUGCGGUUUUUUGUAUAUACACAUGAAAAUUAAAUGCUUUCAGAUAUGCAUUAA
Molecule: long non-coding RNA, 748 nt
Organism: Canis lupus familiaris (dog)
Lineage: Eukaryota; Metazoa; Chordata; Mammalia; Carnivora; Canidae
Exons: 2
Source: RefSeq, a predicted model, not a curated record